GACGAACGCUGGCGGCGUGCCUAAUACAUGCAAGUCGAACGAGAGCGACCGGUGCUUGCACUGGUCAAUCUAGUGGCGAACGGGUGAGUAACACGUGGGUAACCUGCCCAUCAGAGGGGGAUAACAUCCGGAAACGGAUGCUAAAACCGCAUAGGUCUUCGAACCGCAUGGUUUGAAGAGGAAAAGAGGCGCAAGCUUCUGCUGAUGGAUGGACCCGCGGUGCAUUAGCUAGUUGGUGAGGUAACGGCUCACCAAGGCCGUGAUGCAUAGCCGACCUGAGGGGGUGAUCGGCCACAUUGGGACUGAGACACGGCCCAAACUCCUACGGGAGGCAGCAGUAGGGAAUCUUCCGCAAUGGACGCAAGUCUGACGGAGCAACGCCGCGUGAGUGAAGAAGGUUUUCGGAUCGUAAAACUCUGUUGUUAGAGAAGAACAAGUGCUAGAGUAACUGUUAGCGCCUUGACGGUAUCUAACCAGAAAGCCACGGCUAACUACGUG
This 498-nucleotide ribosomal RNA is filed under the name uncultured bacterium. RNAcentral describes it as "partial 16S ribosomal RNA". It matches the Rfam family "Bacterial small subunit ribosomal RNA", at positions 28 to 507 of the family's 1533-position model. The record is from RNAcentral.